This is a long non-coding RNA of Athene cunicularia (burrowing owl), 881 nucleotides long. RefSeq lists it as uncharacterized. NCBI's taxonomy places the organism in Eukaryota, Metazoa, Chordata, Aves, Strigiformes, Strigidae. The record is from RefSeq and is a predicted model, not a curated record. The transcript has 4 exons.
UCUGCAAGAGGAAGCAGACCCUCAGUCAUUUAACUGAAAUGCUACUAUUAGUAAUGCUAAUAACUGCUUCUGUUCCUGCCGUACCUUUCAUCACAGAAUAUGAAGGUGUUGUCUCUUCAGAGUUUUUCUGAUUCAGCUCAUUCUGGCUUGAUUUAUGAACAGGAAUACGGUAUUUGUAGAUGUCCAUGAUCAGGAACUCAUUGAACUGUACGUGCUCAUGACGUUUCAGAGGAGCACCUUGGUUGGACCAGCUCAGUCUUUGCAGAUGGAUGCACAAACACUGAGGAAGCUUCAGCAACAUUCAGUAGAAAAGGAGAGUCAAAAUACAUAUUAAGCGAAGAGAAGCAGCUGUUCAAGUUAAAAGCAUACUGAGGGAAUGGGCUGUAGCAUCUUAAAAAGGCACUGGUGAAGAUAAAGCUGUGACGAGAAGGCAACAGGCAGAGCAGCUGGAUCAUCCAUCAGCAAGGGAUACGUACCCACACGGCGGCAGGAAUGCUCAGCGAGAGGCUGUCGAAGGUUACCUUCACCUCCUUACUCUGGAUAACUGGACUCCAACUUGGCUUUGCAUGUGCAAUCUCAGUACUGCACGCUGAAUGAACAGCUCGUCCUAAAACACUACCCACGUGAGUGGAUUUGCAGUGCUACUGAAUACUAAAUAUAAUAAGACAGCUAUUAUCCCCACAAAGUGGAUCACGUUUCAUUUUCUUCAGUAUAUAUAGUGAUACAUUCUUAUUGGUUACCAAAACCGUAACAGGUACCUGAAAAAGUAACAGUCUGAGCUGUCAGUCCUGCAAACCUUUGCACUAUGUCAGAAACAAGGGAUGGUGGUUUCAGCACAUGCUCUGGGUGUCAGACAUCCUUCUUCACAUACACAUAUUACC